GGAUGAACGCUGGCGGCGUGCCUAAUACAUGCAAGUCGAGCGAACAGACGAGGAGCUUGCUCCUCUGACGUUAGCGGCGGACGGGUGAGUAACACGUGGAUAACCUACCUAUAAGACUGGGAUAACUUCGGGAAACCGGAGCUAAUACCGGAUAAUAUAUUGAACCGCAUGGUUCAAUAGUGAAAGACGGUUUUGCUGUCACUUAUAGAUGGAUCCGCGCCGCAUUAGCUAGUUGGUAAGGUAACGGCUUACCAAGGCAACGAUGCGUAGCCGACCUGAGAGGGUGAUCGGCCACACUGGAACUGAGACACGGUCCAGACUCCUACGGGAGGCAGCAGUAGGGAAUCUUCCGCAAUGGGCGAAAGCCUGACGGAGCAACGCCGCGGGAGUGAUGAAGGUCUUCGGAUCGUAAAACUCUGUUAUUAGGGAAGAACAAAUGUGUAAGUAACUAUGCACGUCUUGACGGUACCUAAUCAGAAAGCCACGGCUAACUACGUG
RNAcentral lists this ribosomal RNA (498 nucleotides) under uncultured bacterium. RNAcentral describes it as "partial 16S ribosomal RNA". It matches the Rfam family "Bacterial small subunit ribosomal RNA", at positions 27 to 507 of the family's 1533-position model. The record is from RNAcentral.